Colossoma macropomum (tambaqui) is the source of this 961-nucleotide long non-coding RNA. RefSeq lists it as uncharacterized. The record is from RefSeq and is a predicted model, not a curated record. Lineage: Eukaryota; Metazoa; Chordata; Actinopteri; Characiformes; Serrasalmidae. The transcript is spliced from 5 exons.
UUUUAUAGGAGUCCAUCUCUACGAAGAGACUCGUGCCGAUGUAUCAUUCCGCGCAGAGGGUAUUUUAAGCUGUAGCGGCUGAGUUUGAGUUUGUGCUCAGGUGUGGACGCUGCUGUGAAAGCCACGUUUGACCAGUGUCAGGGCCAGCAUCUGGACGAGCUUCCUCAGCCUCCUCAUCAUGAACUUGAAGACUGGUGCUGCUCCUCGGAUGCUAGCAGUGCUCUUUAUCUGCACUGCCCUGCUGAAGUCAUGUGGGGCUGAAGCCAGUGCACUUUGCCGUGCUGAGGAACAUCCUAAUGUCACUGCGUUUUACAUCCUGGAUGAGACUGUUCCUGAGUGUGAGGAAUAUCUUUGGCGUGUCAAUAGGCAGCUGAUGGCAUUGAUGUAACGUGGGUGUAUGUGCUGUGGGCGUUUGGGCUGUGUCUCCUCGUCACCAUCAUCAUGCUCUUUGCCUACUUUCUCAGGCACAGAUUGCAGUUCAUGUCUAAAAUGGACAAGCAGAGCUACUCUCCUCCCUGCUCGUGCUCGUCGCCUCCCCCAGGUCUUCUCAGUCAGCCCCUCAUGUCAGCAAAGCCAGCAUCACUUCCUGCCUGUAGCGGAAGAGGAAGGGAAAGGCAUUAAUUUACAUAACUUUGAUUAUUUUUUCUCUCAUGGGGACUGAAAUGGACUUGAAAGGUCAGAGACUUUAGCAGACAAGCUGAUGACAGUGCUGUAUCAAAGGCCAGUAUUCAUUUAACAACUGGCCUCCCCCAUAUUCUUUCUUCAUUUCCCUCUCUCUAUCCCCUAUCCCUAUCUCCAUCUCUCUCUCUCUCUCCCUCUCUCUCUCAGGGCCAGUAUAACUGCCUCAGAUCAGCCAUGCUGCCAGCAAGAGGAGGAAAUUCCAUGUUGUGUUCUACGUAUCACUGUUGUCGGAACAAAACCCCGUAUCUCAGUUUUUGACGUUUUUGACAUAAAAUACCUU